UGGCUGUACAAUAGAUAUACAUGUGAUGAAAAUGGAAGGGAAUCAGUAGAGAGAGUUGUAGGUGAGGCAAGUGGCAACAAUGGAGGAGAUACAAAUGAAGAGUGAUGGAAGUAGAGUGGCAUUCAAGAGCCUACUUUCACUCAAGUAUCCACUCAGUGUUAUUGUUCCAUCUGCAAUUACUCGAGCCAAGGUCCCUGCUUCUGUUGAAAGCAACCCUCCAUUGUAUGUCCCUCGAGAAAGCCUUGAUGACAUUACUCGUGAUAAUAGUGAUAAGUUCACACCUUCAAGGACUUCAGCUGAUACGAACGUGAC
RNAcentral lists this unclassified non-coding RNA (312 nucleotides) under Hevea brasiliensis (rubber tree). The record is from RNAcentral. Lineage: Eukaryota; Viridiplantae; Streptophyta; Magnoliopsida; Malpighiales; Euphorbiaceae.